RNAcentral lists this ribosomal RNA (392 nucleotides) under uncultured bacterium. RNAcentral's name for it is "bacterial SSU rRNA". It matches the Rfam family "Bacterial small subunit ribosomal RNA", at positions 28 to 417 of the family's 1533-position model. The record is from RNAcentral.
GACGAACGCUGGCGGCGUGCUUAACACAUGCAAGUCGAGCGGUAAGGCCCUUUCGGGGGUACGACGAGCGGCGAACGGGUGAGUAACACGUGGGUGACCUGCCCUCCAGCUCUGGGAGUAAGCCUGGGAAACCGGGUCUAAUACUGGAUAUGACUCCAUGACGCAUGUUGUGGGGUGGAAAGCCUUGUGCGGCUGAGGAUGGGCCCGCGGCCUAUCAGCUUGUUGGUGGGGUGAUGGCCUACCAAGGCGACGACGGGUAGCCGGCCUGAGAGGGCGACCGGCCACACUGGGACUGAGACACGGCCCAGACUCCUACGGGAGGGCAGCAGUGGGGAAUCUUGCGCAAUGGGCGAAAGCCUGACGCAGCGACGCCGCGUGAGGGAUGACGGCCU